GAUGAACGCUGGCGGCGUGCCUAAUACAUGCAAGUCGAGCGAACAGACGAGGAGCUUGCUCCUCUGACGUUAGCGGCGGCCGGGUGAGUAACACGUGGAUAACCUACCUAUAAGACUGGGAUAACUUCGGGAAACCGGAGCUAAUACCGGAUAAUAUAUUGAACCGCAUGGUUCAAUAGUGAAAGACGGUUUUGCUGUCACUUAUAGAUGGAUCCGCGCCGCAUUAGCUAGUUGGUAAGGUAACGGCUUACCAAGGCAACGAUGCGUAGCCGACCUGAGAGGGUGAUCGGCCACACUGGAACUGAGACACGGUCCAGACUCCUACGGGAGGCAGCAGUAGGGAAUCUUCCGCAAUGGGCGAAAGCCUGACGGAGCAACGCCGCGUGAGUGAUGAAGGUCUUCGGAUCGUAAAACUCUGUUAUUAGGGAAGAACAAAUGUGUAAGUAACUAUGCACGUCUUGACGGUACCUAAUCAGAAAGCCACGGCUAACUACGUG
RNAcentral lists this ribosomal RNA (497 nucleotides) under uncultured bacterium. RNAcentral's name for it is "partial 16S ribosomal RNA". It matches the Rfam family "Bacterial small subunit ribosomal RNA", at positions 28 to 507 of the family's 1533-position model. The record is from RNAcentral.